Molecule: ribosomal RNA, 253 nt
Filed under: uncultured bacterium
Lineage: Bacteria
Description: partial 16S ribosomal RNA
Rfam family: Bacterial small subunit ribosomal RNA
Source: RNAcentral
UACGUAGGUGGCAAGCGUUGUCCGGAAUUAUUGGGCGUAAAGCGCGCGCAGGCGGUUUCUUAAGUCUGAUGUGAAAGCCCACGGCUCAACCGUGGAGGGUCAUUGGAAACUGGGAAACUUGAGUGCAGAAGAGGAAAGUGGAAUUCCACGUGUAGCGGUGAAAUGCGUAGAGAUGUGGAGGAACACCAGUGGCGAAGGCGACUUUCUGGUCUGUAACUGACGCUGAGGCGCGAAAGCAUGGGGAGCGAACAGG